CUGGGGCGAAGUCAUAACAAGGUAGCCCUACGGGAACGUGGGGCUGGAUCACCUCCUUUCUUUGGAGCA
Molecule: ribosomal RNA, 69 nt
Filed under: Candidatus Zixiibacteriota bacterium
Lineage: Bacteria; Pseudomonadati; Candidatus Zixiibacteriota
Description: partial 16S ribosomal RNA
Rfam family: Bacterial small subunit ribosomal RNA (bases 1-59)
Source: RNAcentral